GCUUGGGUAGCUCAGUUGGUAGAGCACUUGUCCGCGACGCGAGACUGCUACGGUCGCAGGUUCGAAUCCUGCCUCGGGCA
RNAcentral lists this transfer RNA (80 nucleotides) under Schistocerca americana (American grasshopper). Its description in RNAcentral is "tRNA-Arg". It matches the Rfam family "tRNA". From Rfam's summary of the family: Transfer RNA (tRNA) molecules are approximately 80 nucleotides in length. Their secondary structure includes four short double-helical elements and three loops (D, anti-codon, and T loops). Lineage: Eukaryota; Metazoa; Arthropoda; Insecta; Orthoptera; Acrididae. The record is from RNAcentral.